UCAGGAGACUGAGUGAGGAAGAUUUGCCUUCCCCAGUGUAGAUGGCCAUCAUCCAACCACUUUAGGGCCCUGAUACAACAAAAAGGCCGAGGAAGGGCAAAUUUGCUCUCUCUUCUGCAGCUGGAACAUCCAUCUUUUUCCCCCAUCUUCAGACAUCAGAACUCUAGAUUUUCUGGCCUUCAGACUCCAGACUUGCUCCAGCACCCUCUGAGCCCCAUUCUCCUCUCAUUCCCAGGCCUUCUGCUUCAAAUUGAGGCUGACAACAUUGACUCUCCUGGUUCUCAGACCUCUGGAUAUGAGACCUCUGGCGCAACUCACCCCUGGCUUGCACCAAACAUUCUUAAAAUGUUUAUUGGGGUCAGGUGCAAUGGCUCGCACCUGCAAUCCCAGCGCUUUGGGAGGCCAAGGCAGGAGGACUGCUUGAGGCCAGGAGUUCAAGACCAGCCUGUACAACAAGCAGUUAAGCGGGCCCGAGACUCUACCAACUUCAAAAACUGUUUCCAAGAUGGCCCUGGGGAUCAUCUCCAUUUUACCUAAUGAAAGGAGAAAGGACAUUGAGAAGAGCAUGAAGAAGAAUGUUAUGGCCAGGAUUGAAAAAGCUACACAUCCCUUGCCGUCUCAUUCUAAUUGUAUAGACAGGAUUUCCACAUGUCGCCCAGGCUGAUCUCAGACUCCUGACCUGGAUCUUCCCACCUCAGCCACUGAACGUGCUGGGAUUACAGUUGAAGGUCUGGAAUGGAAACUCCUAUUGUGAUCUUAAGGGCUGUAACCCAGAGAAUCUGGUUCUUCCUGGAGUAUUUCAGCAGGGAUCAGCUUAAAUAGGUCUACUUGAAGUUCACAACUGCCAAAACCGCGUGUUCAGACUGAAAGGCUGGGAGCAUUUCAGACGCAUUUAUGAACUUCCACCAAGAUGAUCCGGCAGGCUGAAAUCGCAGGGAGAGCGUCUGUUCAACAAACCCUUUCUUCUUGAUUGAAUUAGUGUUACCCACUAACAGGAUGAGGAAUUCCCACUCCACAAGCUGACUUUUUUUCCUCUUUCCACCUCCCGCCU
Molecule: long non-coding RNA, 1051 nt
Organism: Homo sapiens (human)
Lineage: Eukaryota; Metazoa; Chordata; Mammalia; Primates; Hominidae
Product: long intergenic non-protein coding RNA 1517
Source: Ensembl